GGUAUAACUCAUGUCAUUGUGGAUGAGAUUCACGAACGCAGAAUGAAUGAAGGACCUCCUUCCUUCGGCUAGAACUGAGGUUGAUUCUGAUGAGUGCAACCCUAGAUUCUGAGCUUUUCUGGCAGGGCUCAGAUAAUUCAUGUUCCAGAUGUUUUGGAAAGUACGGGUUGCAGGUUAACUCCAUACAAUCAGAUUGAUGAAAGUGCAAGGCAUAGUGCUUAAGAUGCAUUUGCUUGUAUGAGAUUAACAUUUUGGCAUAGUGCUUUUUGUAAUCACAAGGCAAAGUAGUAAUUG
This 294-nucleotide long non-coding RNA is filed under the name Rosa chinensis. RNAcentral describes it as "sRNA RchiOBHm_Chr2g0141251". Lineage: Eukaryota; Viridiplantae; Streptophyta; Magnoliopsida; Rosales; Rosaceae. The record is from RNAcentral.